This 480-nucleotide ribosomal RNA is filed under the name uncultured bacterium. RNAcentral's name for it is "bacterial SSU rRNA". It matches the Rfam family "Bacterial small subunit ribosomal RNA", at positions 28 to 506 of the family's 1533-position model. The record is from RNAcentral.
GAUGAACGCUAGCGGCAGGCUUAAUACAUGCAAGUCGUACGGGAUCCGAGGUAGCAAUACUUUGGUGAGAGUGGCGCACGGGUGCGUAACACGUAUGCAACCUACCUAUAACCGGGACACAACCUCGAGAAAUUGAGGCUAAUAUCCCAUAACACUGCGAGAUGGCAUCAUUUUGCAGUUAAAACUCCGGUGGCUAUAGAUGGGCAUGCGCGACAUUAGCUAGUUGGUGAGGUAACGGCCCACCAAGGCUACGAUGUCUAGGGGUUCUGAGAGGAUUAUCCCCCCACACUGGUACUGAGACACGGACCAGACUCCUACGGGAGGCAGCAGUAAGGAAUAUUGGUCAAUGGGCGCAAGCCUGAACCAGCCAUGCCGCGUGAAGGAUGACGGCCCUAUGGGUUGUAACUUCUUUGUACGGAAAAACCUCUGGUCGAGAUCAGAGCUGAUGGUACCGUAAGAAUAAGCAUCGGCUAACUCCGU